Molecule: ribosomal RNA, 251 nt
Filed under: uncultured bacterium
Lineage: Bacteria
Description: partial 16S ribosomal RNA
Rfam family: Bacterial small subunit ribosomal RNA
Source: RNAcentral
UACGAAGGGGGCUAGCGUUGCUCGGAAUCACUGGGCGUAAAGCGCACGUAGGCGGAUCUUUAAGUCAGGGUGAAAUCCCAAGGCUCAACCUUGGAACUGCCUUUGAUACUGGGAUCUUGAGUACGGGAGAGGUGAGUGGAACUGCGAGUGUAGAGGUGAAAUUCGUAGAUAUUCGGAAGAACACCAGUGGCGAAGGCGGCCCGCUGGACAUGUAUUGACGCUGAGGUGCGAAAGCGUGGGAGCAAACAGGG